UACGUAGGGUCCGAGCGUUGUCCGGAUUUAUUGGGCGUAAAGAGCUCGUAGGCGGUUUCGUAAGUCGGAUGUGAAAACUCAGGGCUCAACCCGGAGACGCCAUCCGAUACUGCGAUGACUGGAGUCUGGUAGGGGAUCACGGAGUACCUGGUGUAGCGGUGAAAUGCGCAGAUAUCAGGUGGAACACCGAUGGCGAAGGCAGUGAUCUGGGCCAGUACUGACGCUGAGGAGCGAAAGCGUGGGGAGCAAACAGG
This 254-nucleotide ribosomal RNA is filed under the name uncultured bacterium. RNAcentral's name for it is "partial 16S ribosomal RNA". It matches the Rfam family "Bacterial small subunit ribosomal RNA", at positions 524 to 776 of the family's 1533-position model. The record is from RNAcentral.